GGCGGCAUGCCUUACACAUGCAAGUCGAACGGCAGCACGGGGGCAACCCUGGUGGCGAGUGGCGAACGGGUGAGUAAUACAUCGGAACGUGUCCUGUAGUGGGGGAUAGCCCGGCGAAAGCCGGAUUAAUACCGCAUACGCUCUACGGAGGAAAGGGGGGGAUCUUAGGACCUCCCGCUACAGGGGCGGCCGAUGGCAGAUUAGCUAGUUGGUGGGGUAAAGGCCUACCAAGGCGACGAUCUGUAGCUGGUCUGAGAGGACGACCAGCCACACUGGGACUGAGACACGGCCCAGACUCCUACGGGAGGCAGCAGUGGGGAAUUUUGGACAAUGGGCGAAAGCCUGAUCCAGCAAUGCCGCGUGUGUGAAGAAGGCCUUCGGGUUGUAAAGCACUUUUGUCCGGAAAGAAAACCUCCGCCCUAAUAUGGUGGGGGGAUGACGGUACCGGAAGAAUAAGCACCGGCUAACUACGUGCCAGCAGCCGCGGUAAUACGUAGGGUGCAAGCGUUAAUCGGAAUUACUGGGCGUAAAGCGUGCGCAGGCGGUCCGCUAA
This 553-nucleotide ribosomal RNA is filed under the name uncultured beta proteobacterium. RNAcentral's name for it is "bacterial SSU rRNA". It matches the Rfam family "Bacterial small subunit ribosomal RNA", at positions 38 to 586 of the family's 1533-position model. Lineage: Bacteria; Pseudomonadati; Pseudomonadota; Betaproteobacteria. The record is from RNAcentral.